Molecule: unclassified non-coding RNA, 140 nt
Filed under: uncultured Mortierellaceae
Lineage: Eukaryota; Fungi; Mortierellomycota; Mortierellomycetes; Mortierellales; Mortierellaceae
Description: sequence contains ITS1
Source: RNAcentral
UAAUAAAAGUGAAUUUUUUAUGGCACUUUUAAAACAAUCCAUAUCCACCUUGUGUGCAAUGUUUUUUUUUUUUAAUAAACUCAUUUUUUUUAAUAUGUUUUGUCUGAAAUAUCUUUUAUGAAUUACUUAAUUCUAAAAUA